UGGGAGUGCUCCUGGUUGAGAUUGUAAGUGGUAAAAUGAAUAGAGGCUUUCGCCACCCUGGUCACCGUCACAAUCUUAUUGGACACGUAAGUAGAAAGAAUGAGUGCUGCUUCCUCCUUCAAACAGAACUCACUCUUUUAAGUAUAUAAAGCAUGAUUGCUGCAAUAUUUUCAGGCAUGGUUGCUGUGGAAUGAUGGAAGAGCCCUAGAACUAAUGGACAUAUGUUUAGAAGAUUCUUUCGUUGAAUCUCAAGUUCUGAGAUGUAUUCAAGUGGGUUUAUUGUGUGUCCAAAAGUUACCUGAAGACAGGCCUGAUAUGUCAUCUGUAGUUUUCCUGUUGGCGAACGAUGGGGUCACGUUGCCUCAGCCUAGACAACCAGGUUUCUUCACCGAAAGAGGUUUCACUGUAGGUGCAUUAUCAAGUCAUGAAAAAUGUCACUCAGAAAAUGCAUUAAGUAUAACCAUUCAGGAAGGCAGAUAGCACUCUACAGCCUGGUUAAAUUGCAGUCUUGCUUUCAGACAUGCUAAUACGUGUAAAUUUUUAUCACUUCAUAAAAUUUAAGGUCUUCCUUUUCAUUGAAAAGCCAUAAGAAGUAAUUAAUUGUUUCCAUAAAUGAACUGGUGAUCAGAUUCAUAACCAUUGCUAGGAUGUCAAAAUAUUCAUGUUUGGGAACUGUAGAAAUUUUUGUCAUUUCAUAAAAUUUAAGGUCUUGCUUUUCAUUGAAAAACUUUAAGAAGUAAUUAAUUGUUUCCAUAAAUGGACUGGUGAUCAUUAUUCACAACCAUUGUAUGAUUAGGAUGUCAAAAUAUUCAAGUUUUGGAACUGUAAAUUAUGUAAGCAAUUAGUUGGUCUUAGUAUCCUAAUGCAAAGUUUGUUGAAUUUGCAAUUCUAUUCCAUAUAAUAGAUCAACCAACUUGUACACAAAGACAAACUGAUAAAAUCAACAAUUUUUAAACAUUUCAUUGUGCCAAACUAUCAGGAUGACUCCAAGAUACCUGCCUGUUCUGGGAAGACCUUUUGUUCCUGUUUCAAGUGUGGCAGCAGCUAUUAUGGCUGAAAUCCACUGAGAGGAAUUUGCCAAUCAAUUUGACUCCAAGAUACCUGCCUGGGCAUUCAAAACCGAAGCUGUAAUCCACUCAUCUCAUGUGGCACCAACUAUGUGAUAAAUUAAAUAUCAUCUUCUCAAUGAGAGGAAUUUGCCAAUCAAUCGACCCAAUAGAUGCCUAAAUGUAUACGCAGCAAUACGGUAGAGAAUUAUCUUCUCUACGAAUUCAGGAAACUGCAAAAUUAUUUCUUUUCCGAUGUUUCAAAUGCAUUUCCAUUUUGUCUUUUAUGCCAAACUCUCAAAAUAUUUUGGUCAACAUAGUGGGGUUUAUAGUUCCUUCA
RNAcentral lists this long non-coding RNA (1386 nucleotides) under Citrus sinensis (sweet orange). RNAcentral describes it as "long non-coding RNA (CSIN_LNC001684)". The record is from RNAcentral. Lineage: Eukaryota; Viridiplantae; Streptophyta; Magnoliopsida; Sapindales; Rutaceae.